RNAcentral lists this ribosomal RNA (243 nucleotides) under uncultured Actinomycetales bacterium. RNAcentral's name for it is "partial 16S ribosomal RNA". It matches the Rfam family "Bacterial small subunit ribosomal RNA", at positions 88 to 334 of the family's 1533-position model. Lineage: Bacteria; Bacillati; Actinomycetota; Actinomycetes; Actinomycetales. The record is from RNAcentral.
UACUCGAGUGGCUAACGGGUGAGUAACACGUGGGUGAUCUGCCCUGCACUUCGGGAUAAGCCUGGGAAACUGGGUCUAAUACCGGAUAGGACGACGGUUUGGAUGCCAUUGUGGAAAGUUUUUUCGGUGUGGGAUGAGCUCGCGGCCUAUCAGCUUGUUGGUGGGGUAAUGGCCUACCAAGGCGUCGACGGGUAGCCGGCCUGAGAGGGUGUACGGCCACAUUGGGACUGAGAUACGGCCCAG